Molecule: ribosomal RNA, 1031 nt
Filed under: Alternaria azukiae
Lineage: Eukaryota; Fungi; Ascomycota; Dothideomycetes; Pleosporales; Pleosporaceae
Description: eukaryotic LSU rRNA
Rfam family: 5.8S ribosomal RNA (bases 683-836)
Source: RNAcentral
AUUGUUCUUCUCCAUACAUUAGUGUCGAGUAUCCCACCUAUCAAGCUAAAGAAAAAAGGUAAGAGUCAACUCUUGUGUAGAUCACUUGGUCUUCCGAACAGUAGCGUCUCAUAUUUAAGCAUUUCAGCAAAGCUAGACAGGCCAUCUACCUCAGAGCAGAGCUGAGGUACAAUACGCUGAACAGCAUGCCCUUAGAAUACCAAAGGCCAAUGCUUAAGAUUGAUGAUUCAUGAAUUCGACAAUUCACAGCUACUUAUGCAUUCGUGCGUUCUUCAUGAUGCCAGAAACCAAAAGAUCCGUUGUUGAAAGUGUAAUUAUUAAUUUGUUACUGACGCUGAUUGCAAUUACAAAAGGUUUAUGUUUGUCCUAGUGGUGGCGAACCCACCAAGGAAACAAGAAGUACGCAAAAGACAAGGUGAAUAAUUCAGCAAGGCGUAACCCCCGAGAGGUUCCAGCCCGCCUCCAUAUUUGUGUAAUGAAUUUUCCUUCCGUAGGGUAACCUGCGGAGGGAUCAUUACACAAAUAUGAAGGCGGGCUGGAACCUCUCGGGGUUACAGCCUUGCUGAAUUAUUCACCCUUGUCUUUUGCGUACUUCUUGUUUCCUUGGUGGGUUCGCCCACCACUAGGACAAACAUAAACCUUUUGUAAUUGCAAUCAGCGUCAGUAACAAAUUAAUAAUUACAACUUUCAACAACGGAUCUCUUGGUUCUGGCAUCGAUGAAGAACGCAGCGAAAUGCGAUAAGUAGUGUGAAUUGCAGAAUUCAGUGAAUCAUCGAAUCUUUGAACGCACAUUGCGCCCUUUGGUAUUCCAAAGGGCAUGCCUGUUCGAGCGUCAUUUGUACCCUCAAGCUUUGCUUGGUGUUGGGCGUCUUGUCUCUAGCUUUGCUGGAGACUCGCCUUAAAGUAAUUGGCAGCCGGCCUACUGGUUUCGGAGCGCAGCACAAGUCGCACUCUCUAUCAGCAAAGGUCUAGCAUCCAUUAAGCCUUUUUAUCAACUUUGACCUCGGAUCAGGGAGGGAACGUGAAGCUG